GGGCCGUUUAUAUUUCGUUGUCAGAGGUGAAAUUCUUGGAUUUACGAAAGAUAAACUUCUGCGAAAGCAUUCGGCAAGGAUGUUUUCAUUGAUCAAGAACGAAAGUUAGGGGAUCGAAGACGAUCAGAUACCGUCGUAGUCUUAACCAUAAACUAUGCCGACCAGGGAUAUGAGUUGUUAUGAAUAUAGAAAUAUAUUCAAUUUCUUCUUAUGAACCUUGUGAGAAAUCAUAAGUUUUUGGGUUCUGGGGGGAGUAUGGUCGCAAGGCUGAAACUUAAAGGAAUUGACGGAGGGGCACCACCAGGAGUGGAGCGUGCGGCUUAAUUUGACUCAACACGGGAAAACUUACCAGGUCCAGACAUUAGAAGGAUUGACAGAUUGAUAGCUCUUUCAUGAUUUAAUGGGUGGUGGUGCAUGGCCGUUCUUAGUUGGUGGAG
Molecule: ribosomal RNA, 437 nt
Filed under: Tiarina fusus
Lineage: Eukaryota; Ciliophora; Prostomatea; Prorodontida; Colepidae
Description: Tiarina fusa partial Eukaryotic small subunit ribosomal RNA
Rfam family: Eukaryotic small subunit ribosomal RNA
Source: RNAcentral